RNAcentral lists this ribosomal RNA (2169 nucleotides) under Salmonella enterica subsp. enterica serovar Praha. RNAcentral's name for it is "partial 23S ribosomal RNA". It matches the Rfam family "Bacterial large subunit ribosomal RNA", at positions 711 to 2855 of the family's 2925-position model. The record is from RNAcentral. Lineage: Bacteria; Pseudomonadati; Pseudomonadota; Gammaproteobacteria; Enterobacterales; Enterobacteriaceae.
AGACCCGAAACCCGGUGAUCUAGCCAUGGGCAGGUUGAAGGUUGGGUAACACUAACUGGAGGACCGAACCGACUAAUGUUGAAAAAUUAGCGGAUGACCUGUGGCUGGGGGUGAAAGGCCAAUCAAACCGGGAGAUAGCUGGUUCUCCCCGAAAGCUAUUUAGGUAGCGCCUCGUGAAUUCAUCUCCGGGGGUAGAGCACUGUUUCGGCUAGGGGGCCAUCCCGGCUUACCAACCCGAUGCAAACUGCGAAUACCGGAGAAUGUUAUCACGGGAGACACACGGCGGGUGCUAACGUCCGUCGUGAAGAGGGAAACAACCCAGACCGCCAGCUAAGGUCCCAAAGUCAUGGUUAAGUGGGAAACGAUGUGGGAAGGCCCAGACAGCCAGGAUGUUGGCUUAGAAGCAGCCAUCAUUUAAAGAAAGCGUAAUAGCUCACUGGUCGAGUCGGCCUGCGCGGAAGAUGUAACGGGGCUAAACCAUGCACCGAAGCUGCGGCAGCGACGCUGAUGCGUUGUUGGGUAGGGGAGCGUUCUGUAAGCCUGUGAAGGUGGCCUGUGAGGGUUGCUGGAGGUAUCAGAAGUGCGAAUGCUGACAUAAGUAACGAUAAAGCGGGUGAAAAGCCCGCUCGCCGGAAGACCAAGGGUUCCUGUCCAACGUUAAUCGGGGCAGGGUGAGUCGACCCCUAAGGCGAGGCCGAAAGGCGUAGUCGAUGGGAAACGGGUUAAUAUUCCCGUACUUGGUGUUACUGCGAAGGGGGGACGGAGAAGGCUAUGUUGGCCGGGCGACGGUUGUCCCGGUUUAAGCGUGUAGGUGUGUGUUCCAGGUAAAUCCGGUUCACUUUAACACUGAGGCGUGACGACGAGGCACUACGGUGCUGAAGCAACAAAUGCCCUGCUUCCAGGAAAAGCCUCUAAGCAUCAGGUAACAUCAAAUCGUACCCCAAACCGACACAGGUGGUCAGGUAGAGAAUACCAAGGCGCUUGAGAGAACUCGGGUGAAGGAACUAGGCAAAAUGGUGCCGUAACUUCGGGAGAAGGCACGCUGACACGUAGGUGAAGUGAUUUACUCAUGGAGCUGAAGUCAGUCGAAGAUACCAGCUGGCUGCAACUGUUUAUUAAAAACACAGCACUGUGCAAACACGAAAGUGGACGUAUACGGUGUGACGCCUGCCCGGUGCCGGAAGGUUAAUUGAUGGGGUCAGCGCAAGCGAAGCUCCUGAUCGAAGCCCCGGUAAACGGCGGCCGUAACUAUAACGGUCCUAAGGUAGCGAAAUUCCUUGUCGGGUAAGUUCCGACCUGCACGAAUGGCGUAAUGAUGGCCAGGCUGUCUCCACCCGAGACUCAGUGAAAUUGAACUCGCUGUGAAGAUGCAGUGUACCCGCGGCAAGACGGAAAGACCCCGUGAACCUUUACUAUAGCUUGACACUGAACAUUGAGCCUUGAUGUGUAGGAUAGGUGGGAGGCUUUGAAGUGUGGACGCCAGUCUGCAUGGAGCCGACCUUGAAAUACCACCCUUUAAUGUUUGAUGUUCUAACGUGGACCCGUGAUCCGGGUUGCGGACAGUGUCUGGUGGGUAGUUUGACUGGGGCGGUCUCCUCCUAAAGAGUAACGGAGGAGCACGAAGGUUGGCUAAUCCUGGUCGGACAUCAGGAGGUUAGUGCAAUGGCAUAAGCCAGCUUGACUGCGAGCGUGACGGCGCGAGCAGGUGCGAAAGCAGGUCAUAGUGAUCCGGUGGUUCUGAAUGGAAGGGCCAUCGCUCAACGGAUAAAAGGUACUCCGGGGAUAACAGGCUGAUACCGCCCAAGAGUUCAUAUCGACGGCGGUGUUUGGCACCUCGAUGUCGGCUCAUCACAUCCUGGGGCUGAAGUAGGUCCCAAGGGUAUGGCUGUUCGCCAUUUAAAGUGGUACGCGAGCUGGGUUUAGAACGUCGUGAGACAGUUCGGUCCCUAUCUGCCGUGGGCGCUGGAGAACUGAGGGGGGCUGCUCCUAGUACGAGAGGACCGGAGUGGACGCAUCACUGGUGUUCGGGUUGUCAUGCCAAUGGCACUGCCCGGUAGCUAAAUGCGGAAGAGAUAAGUGCUGAAAGCAUCUAAGCACGAAACUUGCCCCGAGAUGAGUUCUCCCUGAGACUUUAAGUCUCCUGAAGGAACGUUGAAGACGACGACGUUG